GGGUUGUGAGGUUAAGCGACUAAGCGUACACGGUGGAUGCCCUGGCAGUCAGAGGCGAUGAAGGACGUGCUAAUCUGCGAUAAGCGCCGGUAAGGUGAUAUGAACCGUUAUAACCGGCGAUUUCCGAAUGGGGAAACCCAGUGUGAUUCGUCACACUAUCAUUAACUGAAUCCAUAGGUUAAUGAGGCGAACCGGGGGAACUGAAACAUCUAAGUACCCCGAGGAAAAGAAAUCAACCGAGAUUCCCCCAGUAGCGGCGAGCGAACGGGGAGGAGCCCAGAGCCUGAAUCAGCAUGUGUGUUAGUGGAAGCGUCUGGAAAGGCGCGCGAUACAGGGUGACAGCCCCGUACACAAAAGCGCAUGUGUUGUGAGCUCGAUGAGUAGGGCGGGACACGUGGUAUCCUGUCUGAAUAUGGGGGGACCAUCCUCCAAGGCUAAAUACUCCUGACUGACCGAUAGUGAACCAGUACCGUGAGGGAAAGGCGAAAAGAACCCCGGCGAGGGGAGUGAAAAAGAACCUGAAACCGUGUACGUACAAGCAGUGGGAGCACAGGUUUACCUGUGUGACUGCGUACCUUUUGUAUAAUGGGUCAGCGACUUAUAUUCUGUAGCAAGGUUAACCGUAUAGGGGAGCCGGAGGGAAACCGAGUCUUAAUUGGGCGUUAAGUUGCAGGGUAUAGACCCGAAACCCGGUGAUCUAGCCAUGGGCAGGUUGAAGGUUGGGUAACACUAACUGGAGGACCGAACCGACUAAUGUUGAAAAAUUAGCGGAUGACCUGUGGCUGGGGGUGAAAGGCCAAUCAAACCGGGAGAUAGCUGGUUCUCCCCGAAAGCUAUUUAGGUAGCGCCUCGUGAAUUCAUCUCCGGGGGUAGAGCACUGUUUCGGCUAGGGGGCCAUCCCGGCUUACCAACCCGAUGCAAACUGCGAAUACCGGAGAAUGUUAUCACGGGAGACACACGGCGGGUGCUAACGUCCGUCGUGAAGAGGGAAACAACCCAGACCGCCAGCUAAGGUCCCAAAGUCAUGGUUAAGUGGGAAACGAUGUGGGAAGGCCCAGACAGCCAGGAUGUUGGCUUAGAAGCAGCCAUCAUUUAAAGAAAGCGUAAUAGCUCACUGGUCGAGUCGGCCUGCGCGGAAGAUGUAACGGGGCUAAACCAUGCACCGAAGCUGCGGCAGCGACACUGUGUGUUGUUGGGUAGGGGAGCGUUCUGUAAGCCUGUGAAGGUGGCCUGUGAGGGUUGCUGGAGGUAUCAGAAGUGCGAAUGCUGACAUAAGUAACGAUAAAGCGGGUGAAAAGCCCGCUCGCCGGAAGACCAAGGGUUCCUGUCCAACGUUAAUCGGGGCAGGGUGAGUCGACCCCUAAGGCGAGGCCGAAAGGCGUAGUCGAUGGGAAACGGGUUAAUAUUCCCGUACUUGGUGUUACUGCGAAGGGGGGACGGAGAAGGCUAUGUUGGCCGGGCGACGGUUGUCCCGGUUUAAGCGUGUAGGUGUGUGUUCCAGGUAAAUCCGGUUCACUUUAACACUGAGGCGUGAUGACGAGGCACUACGGUGCUGAAGCAACAAAUGCCCUGCUUCCAGGAAAAGCCUCUAAGCAUCAGGUAACAUCAAAUCGUACCCCAAACCGACACAGGUGGUCAGGUAGAGAAUACCAAGGCGCUUGAGAGAACUCGGGUGAAGGAACUAGGCAAAAUGGUGCCGUAACUUCGGGAGAAGGCACGCUGACAUGUAGGUGAAGUGAUUUACUCAUGGAGCUGAAGUCAGUCGAAGAUACCAGCUGGCUGCAACUGUUUAUUAAAAACACAGCACUGUGCAAACACGAAAGUGGACGUAUACGGUGUGACGCCUGCCCGGUGCCGGAAGGUUAAUUGAUGGGGUCAGCGCAAGCGAAGCUCCUGAUCGAAGCCCCGGUAAACGGCGGCCGUAACUAUAACGGUCCUAAGGUAGCGAAAUUCCUUGUCGGGUAAGUUCCGACCUGCACGAAUGGCGUAAUGAUGGCCAGGCUGUCUCCACCCGAGACUCAGUGAAAUUGAACUCGCUGUGAAGAUGCAGUGUACCCGCGGCAAGACGGAAAGACCCCGUGAACCUUUACUAUAGCUUGACACUGAACAUUGAGCCUUGAUGUGUAGGAUAGGUGGGAGGCUUUGAAGCGUGGACGCCAGUCUGCGUGGAGCCGGCCUUGAAAUACCACCCUUUAAUGUUUGAUGUUCUAACGUGGACCCGUGAUCCGGGUUGCGGACAGUGUCUGGUGGGUAGUUUGACUGGGGCGGUCUCCUCCUAAAGAGUAACGGAGGAGCACGAAGGUUGGCUAAUCCUGGUCGGACAUCAGGAGGUUAGUGCAAUGGCAUAAGCCAGCUUGACUGCGAGCGUGACGGCGCGAGCAGGUGCGAAAGCAGGUCAUAGUGAUCCGGUGGUUCUGAAUGGAAGGGCCAUCGCUCAACGGAUAAAAGGUACUCCGGGGAUAACAGGCUGAUACCGCCCAAGAGUUCAUAUCGACGGCGGUGUUUGGCACCUCGAUGUCGGCUCAUCACAUCCUGGGGCUGAAGUAGGUCCCAAGGGUAUGGCUGUUCGCCAUUUAAAGUGGUACGCGAGCUGGGUUUAGAACGUCGUGAGACAGUUCGGUCCCUAUCUGCCGUGGGCGCUGGAGAACUGAGGGGGGCUGCUCCUAGUACGAGAGGACCGGAGUGGACGCAUCACUGGUGUUCGGGUUGUCAUGCCAAUGGCACUGCCCGGUAGCUAAAUGCGGAAGAGAUAAGUGCUGAAAGCAUCUAAGCACGAAACUUGCCCCGAGAUGAGUUCUCCCUGAGACUUAAAGUCUCCUGAAGGAACGUUGAAGACGACGACGUUGAUAGGCCGGGUGUGUAAGCGCAGCGAUGCGUUGAGCUAACCGGUACUAAUGAACCGUGAGGCUUAACCUUACAACGCCGAAG
This 2928-nucleotide ribosomal RNA is filed under the name Salmonella enterica subsp. enterica. RNAcentral describes it as "23S ribosomal RNA". It matches the Rfam family "Bacterial large subunit ribosomal RNA". The record is from RNAcentral. Lineage: Bacteria; Pseudomonadati; Pseudomonadota; Gammaproteobacteria; Enterobacterales; Enterobacteriaceae.